This 560-nucleotide ribosomal RNA is filed under the name Tapinella panuoides. RNAcentral describes it as "LSU rRNA". It matches the Rfam family "Eukaryotic large subunit ribosomal RNA", at positions 66 to 632 of the family's 3401-position model. Lineage: Eukaryota; Fungi; Basidiomycota; Agaricomycetes; Boletales; Tapinellaceae. The record is from RNAcentral.
UAACAAGGAUUCCCCUAGUAACUGCGAGUGAAGAGGGAAGAGCUCAAAUUUUAAAUCUGGCAGUUCUUGUGACUGUCCGAGUUGUAAUCUAGAGAAGUGUUUUCCGCGCUGGACCGUGUACAAGUCUCCUGGAACGGAGCGUCAUAGAGGGUGAGAAUCCCGUCUCUGACACGGACUACCAGGGCUUUUGUGAUGCGCUCUCGACGAGUCGAGUUGUUUGGGAAUGCAGCUCAAAUUGGGUGGUAAAUUCCAUCUAAAGCUAAAUAUAGGCGAGAGACCGAUAGCGAACAAGUACCGUGAGGGAAAGAUGAAAAGAACUUUGGAAAGAGAGUUAAACAGUACGUGAAAUUGCUGAAAGGGAAACGCUUGAAGUCAGUCGCGUUAGUUGGGGAUCAACCUUACUUUUUGUUGGGUGCAUUUCCUGAUUGACGGGUCAGCAUCAAUUUUGAUCAUUGGAUAAAGGUCAAGGGAAUGUGGCACCUCUCGGGGUGUGUUAUAGCCUUUGACUAUACAGUGGUUGGGAUUGAGGAACUCAGCACUUGUGCUUAGGAUGCUGGCAU